GCACUUCGGGAUAAGCCUGGGAAACUGGGUCUAAUACCGGAUAGGACCAUGAGAUGCAUGUCUUAUGGUGGAAAGCUUNUGCGGUGUGGGAUGGGCCCGCGGCCUAUCUGCUUGUUGGUGGGGUCACGGCCUACCAAGGCUCCGACGGGUAGCCGGCCUGAGAGGGUGUCCGGCCACACUGGGACUGAGAUACGGCCCAGACUCCUACGGGAGGCAGCAGUGGGGAAUAUUGCACAAUGGGCGCAAGCCUGAUGCAGCGACGCCGCGUGGGGGAUGACGGCCUUCGGGUUGUAAACCUCUUUCACCAUCGACGAAGGUCCGGGUUUACUCGGAUUGGCGGUAGGUGGAGAAGAAGUACCGGCCAACUACGUGCCAGCAGCCGCGGUAAUACGUAGGGUGCGAGCGUUGUCCGGAAUUACUGGGCGUAAAGAGCUCGUAGGUGGUUUGUCGCGUUGUUCGUGAAAACUCACGGCUUAACUGUGAGCGUGCGGGCGAUACGGGCAGACUGGAGUACUGCAGGGGAGACUGGAAUUCCUGGUGUAGCGGUGGAAUGCGCAGAUAUCAGGAGGAACACCGGUGGCGAAGGCGGGUCUCUGGGCAGUAACCGACGCUGAGGAGCGAAAGCGUGGGGAGCGAACAGGAUUAGAUACCCUGGUAGUCCACGCCGUAAACGGUGGGUACUAGGUGUGGGUUUCCUU
RNAcentral lists this ribosomal RNA (698 nucleotides) under uncultured Mycobacterium sp. RNAcentral's name for it is "bacterial SSU rRNA". It matches the Rfam family "Bacterial small subunit ribosomal RNA", at positions 133 to 833 of the family's 1533-position model. Lineage: Bacteria; Bacillati; Actinomycetota; Actinomycetes; Mycobacteriales; Mycobacteriaceae. The record is from RNAcentral.